This 1839-nucleotide long non-coding RNA is filed under the name Anser cygnoides (Swan goose). Its description in RNAcentral is "lncRNA (ENSACDG00005011629.1)". Lineage: Eukaryota; Metazoa; Chordata; Aves; Anseriformes; Anatidae. The record is from RNAcentral.
CCCCCCCCCCCCCCCCUCCCUUUUCCUUUCUUUCUUUUUUUUUUUUUUUACAGACUUAGGAUGGCUUGUCUUGUUAGUUACUUUUCUUCCUGCCAGCCCCCAUCCUCAAGUUCUCCAAUGCAACUUCAGAGGAUCAUCUUUGAUACCUCUGCAUCUGAAUAAUAUGGUUUCUGUCCCAUGCUGUAGCUGACGGUAGGAUGGACUCUGAGUGCAACUGAGAGGUUGCUUCCUCCAUAGUUUCCUAUUGCAUCUCAUACUGGUUAGGGUAAGCAAUUACAGAGGAAAUUUGACUUCUCCAUGGAGUAGUGUGUGCCUGACAGCUAGCUGGAGACAGCACACACGGAAUUGAGUCAGUGCUCCGAGUGCGGUCUUGAGUUGCAGUAAAGGUAAAACAACUGCAGACUGAUAGUUUAGCUUCUAAGGAGCAUAUACAGAUAGCAUGUUUGCCUCUAAUACUUAAAAGGCGAGGUUCUGAGAUCAUAUUUCAUGGACUGCUUCCUAUAGAUUUCAAGAAAUCCAAUCGUUCUGAAGUAUAGCCGUGCGCUAUUAUUAUUUAAAGGGAACAAACUGUUUUGAAACCCAUUACGUGGGAAGGAACCGAGGGCGGAAGUGACGUCAAGGCGUGCCUUCACUGAGGACCAAAACGGCUCCAUGAUUGGCUGGACCGUGAGGGCAGAUGUAGCGUCACGGCUAGCCUUCACUGAGGGCGGAAACACUCCGUGACUGGCUCGGAGGAACCCAGGGCGGAAGUGCCUUGCAGGGCUUGCCGGCACUAUGGGCGGAAGCUGUCGGGCCGGGCCGGGCUCGGCUCGGGCCAGGCCGCCGAGGCGCGGUGCUGCAACGAGGGCAGAAGCAGCUCCCCGCCGCAAGGACCCCUGUGGGGUUUGUUGCCGAGCGAAGGUGGCGCAUUGGCUAAACGGAGGAAAGCUGCAGCUGGCGUGCUGCAGUCGCAGGUUUCCCAGGAGAAAGAGCAGCCCGUCUGUCCAGGCCCCCGGACACAACCGAGGACCCACCCCGGUGACGCCCAGCGUGCUCCCGUGUGCCCUGAGCACCCACCACGGAGAACCCCGGCCUGCCCCCGAGCAGCCCAUAGGAACCACCCCGGUGACCCCCGGCCCUGCAUGUCCCCAGGAUCGUCGUUCACCCCGGAUGACCCUCCCCGCUGACCCCUAUGGGCCACCCAAGUCUCCGGUGGACACAUGCCGUUGACCCCUCCGGCCUCCCUGGUACCCAGAGGACCCACCCCGGUCACAUCCCCGGGGGCCCGCUAGGACUCAAACCAGUGAGCACCCCUGGGUCCCCGGGGGCCCCCGAGUACCCACCCUGGUGAUCACCCCCGGGCCCCCCAGGCGCCCCGGAGGACCCGCCCGGGUGACACUCCAGUGUCCCUCGAAGGCUGCGGAGGACAAACUCCGGUGAUCCCCCUGGGACCUCGAGGUCCCCGGAGAAGCCACCCUGGUGUCCUCCACAGAUACCAGAGGUCCCCGGAGGAACCAACUCUGGUGAACCCCUAGGUCCCCCCAGGUCCCCAGACCACCAACCCCUGUGACAACCCAGAGUCCCUCGGAAGCCCCAGAGGACCUAUCCCUGUGAUCCCCCCCACCCGGGCCGCCCAGGGCACCGGAGGAGCAAAGCAGGUGAGCCCCACGGGAUGCCAAACUCCCCGGAGGACCCAAAAUUGUGUCCUCCCUUGGUCCCCUUGGUCCCGGAGGAUCCACCACGGUGACAACCCCGAUUCCUUGGGCGCACGGUAAGACUAAUCCCGGUGACACCUCCGGGCCCCCCAGGUCCCCUGAAGUGCCACACCGGUGAAAGCCGGAUUGCCUGCGGGCGCCUUGG